Psammomys obesus (fat sand rat) is the source of this 105-nucleotide small nuclear RNA. Lineage: Eukaryota; Metazoa; Chordata; Mammalia; Rodentia; Muridae. The record is from RefSeq and is a predicted model, not a curated record.
CUGUUUACUUCAGCAACAUAUAUACUACAGUUGAAACAACACAAAAAAAAUUAGCCUGGUCCCUGAGCAAGCAUGGCAUGCAAAUUUAUCGUUUUCCAUAUUUUU